This 426-nucleotide ribosomal RNA is filed under the name uncultured bacterium. RNAcentral describes it as "bacterial SSU rRNA". It matches the Rfam family "Bacterial small subunit ribosomal RNA", at positions 355 to 775 of the family's 1533-position model. The record is from RNAcentral.
UCGAGAAUUUUUCUCAAUGGGCGAAAGCCUGAAGGAGCGACGCCGCGUGGAGGAUGAAGGUCUUCGGAUUGUAAACUCCUGUCAUUAGGGAACAAACCUUCCAGUUAACUGCUGGAAAGCUGAUAGUACCUGAAGAGGAAGAGACGGCUAACUCUGUGCCAGCAGCCGCGGUAAUACAGAGGUCUCAACCGUUGUUCGGAUUUAUUGGGCGUAAAGGGUGCGUAGGCGGCGGGAUAAGUCAGGUGUGAAAUCUCGGGGCUCAACCCCGAAACUGCACUUGAUACUGCCUUGCUCGAGUACUGGAGAGGAGACUGGAAUUUACGGUGUAGCAGUGAAAUGCGUAGAUAUCGUAAGGAAGACCAGUAGCGAAGGCGAGUCUCUGGACAGUUACUGACGCUGAGGCACGAAGGCCAGGGGAGCAAACGG